RNAcentral lists this long non-coding RNA (364 nucleotides) under Bos taurus (domestic cattle). RNAcentral describes it as "long non-coding RNA NONBTAT025762". The record is from RNAcentral. Lineage: Eukaryota; Metazoa; Chordata; Mammalia; Artiodactyla; Bovidae.
AAAUGUUCGUUAACUCUCAUAAUGAAACCCAAGAGUAGAAAUGUUGUGACCUCUGCUACCUCCAGGAUCAUAUAUGUGGCUGUCUAUACACUAAUUCUACAAUGAUUCGAGUAUUGUAAAUUUAUCCUUUUAUCAAAACAACUAAGAUUCUGUGAAAAUGACAGGUCUAAAGAAGAGGGAUGGGGGCAAUUUAGAUCAUCUCUAAAACAGAAAAGACAAACCUUAAAUAGAAAUGGUGCUCAGGGCCAGCGUGUACUUCUGUCAUCUGUGCUUGAGAGGAUGAGUUUGUUUUCUUGCUUACUACUACUAACCAUGAUUUUUUUGAAUCCGUAUACAUAGAAACCAGCAAGCAGAAUCAUGUAUG